RNAcentral lists this ribosomal RNA (478 nucleotides) under uncultured bacterium. Its description in RNAcentral is "partial 16S ribosomal RNA". It matches the Rfam family "Bacterial small subunit ribosomal RNA", at positions 28 to 523 of the family's 1533-position model. The record is from RNAcentral.
GACGAACGCUGGCGGCGUGCUUAACACAUGCAAGUCGAACGGUAAGGCCCUUCGGGGUACACGAGUGGCGAACGGGUGAGUAACACGUGGGUGAUCUGCCCUGCACUUCGGGAUAAGCCUGGGAAACUGGGUCUAAUACCGGAUAGGACCACUGCCUGCAUGGGUGGUGGUGGAAGGCUUUUGCGGUGUGGGGCGGGCCCGCGGCCUAUCAGCUUGUUGGUGGGGUGAUGGCCUACCAAGGCGACGACGGGUAGCCGGCCUGAGGGGGUGACCGGCCACACUGGGGCUGAGAUACGGCAUCGACUCCUCCGGGAGGCAGCUGUGGGGAAUAUUGCACAAUGGGCGCAAGCCUGAUGCAGCGACGCCGCGUGGGGGAUGACGGCCUUCGGGUUGUAAACCUCUUUCAGCACCGACGAAGCGCAAGUGACGGUAGGUGCAGAAGAAGGACCGGCCAACUACGUGCCAGCAGCCGCCGCGG